RNAcentral lists this ribosomal RNA (1378 nucleotides) under uncultured bacterium. Its description in RNAcentral is "16S ribosomal RNA". It matches the Rfam family "Bacterial small subunit ribosomal RNA". The record is from RNAcentral.
UUCGCCCUUAGAGUUUGAUCCUGGCUCAGGACGAACGCUGGCGGCGCGCCUAACACAUGCAAGUCGAACGAGCGAGAGAGAGCUUGCUUUCUCAAGCGAGUGGCGAACGGGUGAGUAACGCGUGAGGAACCUGCCUCAGAGGGGGGCAACAGUUGGAAACGACUGCUAAUACCGCAUAAGCCCACGACCCGGCAUCGGGUAGAGGGAAAAGGAGCAAUCCGCUUUGAGAUGGCCUCGCGUCCGAUUAGCUAGUUGGUGAGGUAAUGGCCCACCAAGGCGACGAUCGGUAGCCGGACUGAGAGGUUGAACGGCCACAUUGGGACUGAGACACGGCCCAGACUCCUACGGGAGGCAGCAGUGGGGAAUAUUGCACAAUGGGGGAAACCCUGAUGCAGCGACGCCGCGUGGAGGAAGAAGGUCUUCGGAUUGUAAACUCCUGUUGUUGAGGAAGAUAAUGACGGUACUCAACAAGGAAGUGACGGCUAACUACGUGCCAGCAGCCGCGGUAAAACGUAGGUCACAAGCGUUGUCCGGAAUUACUGGGUGUAAAGGGAGCGCAGGCGGGAAGACAAGUUGGAAGUGAAAUCCAUGGGCUCAACCCAUGAACUGCUUUCAAAACUGUUUUUCUUGAGUAGUGCAGAGGUAGGCGGAAUUCCCGGUGUAGCGGUGGAAUGCGUAGAUAUCGGGAGGAACACCAGUGGCGAAGGCGGCCUACUGGGCACCAACUGACGCUGAGGCUCGAAAGUGUGGGUAGCAAACAGGAUUAGAUACCCUGGUAGUCCACACUGUAAACGAUGAAUUACUAGGUGUUGGAGGAUUGACCCCUUCAGUGCCGCAGUUAACACAAUAAGUAAUCCACCUGGGGAGUACGACCGCAAGGUUGAAACUCAAAGGAAUUGACGGGGGCCCGCACAAGCAGUGGAGUAUGUGGUUUAAUUCGACGCAACGCGAAGAACCUUACCAAGUCUUGACAUCCUGCGACGGACAUAGAAAUAUGUUUUUCCUUCGGGACGCAGAGACAGGUGGUGCAUGGUUGUCGUCAGCUCGUGUCGUGAGAUGUUGGGUUAAGUCCCGCAACGAGCGCAACCCUUAUGGUCAGUUACUACGCAAGAGGACUCUGGCCAGACUGCCGUUGACAAAACGGAGGAAGGUGGGGAUGACGUCAAAUCAUCAUGCCCUUUAUGACUUGGGCUACACACGUACUACAAUGGCGUUAAACAAAGAGAAGCAAGACCGCGAGGUGGAGCAAAACUCAGAAGCAACGUCCCAGUUCGGACUGCAGGCUGCAACUCGCCUGCACGAAGUCGGAAUUGCUAGUAAUCGCAGAUCAGCAUGCUGCGGUGAAUACGUUCCCGGGCCUUGUACACACCGCCCGUCA